AAUGAACGUUGGCGGCGUGGAUUAGGCAUGCAAGUCGCGCGGACCAGCAAUGGUUAGCGGCGAAAGGGAGAGUAACGCGUGGGUUAUCUGCCUCCUGGACCGGGAUAGCUGCGGGAAACUGCAGGUAAUACUGGAUAACGUCUUUGGACCAAAGGUGUGAUUCCGCCGGGAGAUGAGCCCGCGUCCUAUUAGCUAGUUGGUGAGGUAACGGCUCACCAAGGCUUAGAUGGGUAGGGGGUGUGAGAGCACGACCCCCCUCACUGGGACUGAGACACUGCCCAGACACCUACGGGUGGCUGCAGUCGAGGAUCUUCGGCAAUGGGCGAAAGCCUGACCGAGCGACGCCGCGUGUGGGAUGAAGGCCUUCGGGUUGUAAACCACUGUCGUAGAGGAGGAAAUUCUAGGGGGUUCUCCCCUUAGUUUGACCUAUUCUAGGAGGAAGUCAGGGCUAAGUUCGUGCCAGCAGCCGCCGUAAAAC
Molecule: ribosomal RNA, 478 nt
Filed under: uncultured bacterium
Lineage: Bacteria
Description: bacterial SSU rRNA
Rfam family: Bacterial small subunit ribosomal RNA
Source: RNAcentral